UCCCAAGAUGCAACAAUUACAAAUACCUCGGGGUGGAUAUUGAAGCACUGGGCCUUCCAAAUUUUGAGGAGAGACUGAAGUCUAAAGCCAUGAAAGCUAAGGGCUAUCUGAACAGCCUUGCACAAUCGAGCUACCUUGACGUGACGCGGGAGCUGUGGAAGAUUGUCGUCGUCCCUCGCCUUACGUAUGCAAAUGCAGUCACGUGCAUAUCCGGGGCCACUGGCGAAUUCCUUGAGAGGAAACAACGCGAGAAACUUUUACUACACGACACAGUUCUACCGGCAUAUGCCACAUAAAAGAGGAAGCACACGCAAUGAGGGAGACAGGUUUAUGCUUUCAGUUAUGGAAUGAUCGCAGGCUAUGACGAUGUAAAGUUGGCUGCUAAGUACAAGACACAAGAUUAUAACGACCACAGAGUAUGAAUAUAUAAAAAAACAAUGAAACUGCAAUUAAAUGCAACA
Ornithodoros turicata is the source of this 461-nucleotide long non-coding RNA. RefSeq lists it as uncharacterized. NCBI's taxonomy places the organism in Eukaryota, Metazoa, Arthropoda, Arachnida, Ixodida, Argasidae. The transcript has 2 exons. The record is from RefSeq and is a predicted model, not a curated record.